This 550-nucleotide unclassified non-coding RNA is filed under the name Hevea brasiliensis (rubber tree). The record is from RNAcentral. Lineage: Eukaryota; Viridiplantae; Streptophyta; Magnoliopsida; Malpighiales; Euphorbiaceae.
GUUCUUGCACCAACCAAAGAAUGCUCUAGACCAUUUUUCUACCUCAUAGACCACCAUCUACACCCAUAAGCAUACGCAUAUUAUAUACCAUAUAUAUAUAUAUAACAGAGAGGGAGAGAAGAAGAAGAAGAUGGAGGGUGGCAGCCUAAAGAGGUCUACAACAUCCUUUAGAAGACAAGGAUCCUCGGGGUUGGUAUGGGAUGACAAGUUCUUAUCAGGAGAAUUGAAGCAAAACGAAGAAAAGGCAGAAAUAAGUAGUCCAAGAUCAUCAAAUAAUGGAAAGAUGCAACGCAGUCGCUCCGCAGGAGGAGCUAUCUACCGUACGGUCAAGGUUUCAUCUUCACCAAACGUCGACCCUCCAUCUCCUAAAGUCUCAGGCUGUGGAUUGUGUGUCAUUUUUGGCAAGCCAGUUUCUACCCAUCAACGAAAGUCCUGUAAGCGUUAAUUAGUAUUCCGAAUUUGCUUGUGCAUCACUCGCAUAUAGUUUUCAAGGUUAAAAAUACCUACUCAAAAGGAAGGACUUUUAACCUUGAAAACUAUAUGCGAGUGA